RNAcentral lists this ribosomal RNA (810 nucleotides) under uncultured bacterium. Its description in RNAcentral is "bacterial SSU rRNA". It matches the Rfam family "Bacterial small subunit ribosomal RNA", at positions 8 to 806 of the family's 1533-position model. The record is from RNAcentral.
AGAGUUUGAUCCUGGCUCAGAUUGAACGCUGGCGGCAUGCUUUACACAUGCAAGUCGGACGGCAGCACAGAGAAGCUUGCUUCUUGGGUGGCGAGUGGCGAACGGGUGAGUAAUAUAUCGGAACGUACCGAGUAAUGGGGGAUAACUAAUCGAAAGAUUAGCUAAUACCGCAUAUUCUCUGAGGAGGAAAGCAGGGGACCUUCGGGCCUUGCGUUAUUCGAGCGGCCGAUAUCUGAUUUAGCUAGUUGGUGGGGUAAAGGCCUACCAAGGCGACGAUCAGUAGCGGGUCUGAGAGGAUGAUCCGCCACACUGGGACUGAGACACGGCCCAGACUCCUACGGGAGGCAGCAGUGGGGAAUUUUGGACAAUGGGCGCAAGCCUGAUCCAGCCAUGCCGCGUGUCUGAAGAAGGCCUUCGGGUUGUAAAGGACUUUUGUCAGGGAAGAAAAGGCUGUUGCUAAUAUCGACAGCUGAUGACGGUACCUGAAGAAUAAGCACCGGCUAACUACGUGCCAGCAGCCGCGGUAAUACGUAGGGUGCGAGCGUUAAUCGGAAUUACUGGGCGUAAAGCGAGCGCAGACGGUUACUUAAGCAGGAUGUGAAAUCCCCGGGCUCAACCUGGGAACUGCGUUCUGAACUGGGUGACUAGAGUGUGUCAGAGGGAGGUAGAAUUCCACGUGUAGCAGUGAAAUGCGUAGAGAUGUGGAGGAAUACCGAUGGCGAAGGCAGCCUCCUGGGAUAACACUGACGUUCAUGCUCGAAAGCGUGGGUAGCAAACAGGAUUAGAUACCCUGGUAGUCCACGCCCUAAA